CACUCUGUAUCCAGCCAUCCUCAUGUAUAAAGAGGAGGAAAGGAGAGGCACUUCUGUUACUACCGACCAGUUACUAGGUGUGACAUUGUGCAGGUCACUGCACACACUUAAAGCAACCAGAUGUAUAUCCAUAGUCAUCGGUGUUUUAUAGAACAUAAGAAUAGACUCACAGUCCAUUCCCCUCCUGCAAGACUACAUAUUCUAUCGUAAAGGAUGUGUCAAGGAAGAGCGUGUUGGAGUUCUGACUCUGGAGGUCCGCCAGCCAGAAAAUGGCCUCCAGCCUCCCAGUCUCUUCCUGCUCAUCAGCAUAACCAUCCUCCAUCCAUGAAUCCCCACUGCUCACUCAUUUUCUCUGCUAGUACUUAGUGAGCACCUCCUAUGACCCGGGGAUACAGCAGUAAAUAAAACAGGCAAACACAUUGGAGAGAAAGAAAGCCUGGGAGGCUGAGGUCUCUGGAGCCCAACGCACACUUCAGCCCACUCUCACAGGCAUUCUCUCUGUCCACAAAAUAUCACCGAAGAGUCUUCUGUGAGUGCAGCAUGGUGUGAACACUGGGAGUACAAGGAGAAAUAAGACACAGUUGCUGUGCUGGAGAAGCUUGUGCCCAGUGGUGGUGAUACUGCCGGAGGUGAGACCACUAUGCCAGCACAGGAACAAAGACGGCAGGGGCACAGGGCAAUUCAGGGGUGCAGAUCUGGGGGCAUCCAAGAGGCUCCUAAGCCUCAGUAUAUAAACUGACAGGUCACAGCCUGCUCUAGGAAACACCUUCUUAAGGGUUGGAGUUAUCUUUGUGCAUCCCAUCCCCACCCCACCAAGCCGCCCUUGGCCCUGCCCUCAGGAGCUUCUGCUUGGCCUUGCUAAUUCCUCUCUUCUCCCUGAAGCUAGAGUGAGGUCCCUCUUGGCAGCCUUUGUAUCUAGAGAGAGCCGUCCAAUAGAAACAUAAGGUGAGCAACAUGCUUAAUUUUAAAAUUUCUAGUAGCUACAUUAAACAUUUUUAAGUGAAAUUAACUUUAAUAAUACAUUUACUUAACCCAAUAUAUCCAAAAGAUUAUCAUUUCAACAUGCAAUCCUAUUUUAAAAAUAACUAGUGAGGUACCUGACAAAAAAAAAUCCCUUUUCAUACUAAGUCCAGAAGAUCUUUGUGUAUUUUAUACUCAUAGGACAUCUGAGUUUGGAUGUUACCUUUUUAUUGGAAAUAUGGGAUCUGUACUUAGAUUUCACUGAAUUUACAUUGAAAAGGUAGGUUCACAUACCCAAGUUGUCUCACACGUACCUAAAUGUUUUCUGGUAACUGGAUGGAGUAUCAGUUUUUAUAUUUAUCUUUGCAUUAGCUAAAAAACAAAUUAAUAGUUCAGGUCCUCAGCCGCACACAGGCAGUUUUCUCCACGGUCCAAAUUGUUGCCCGAAUUCACCCAGACCCCGCUGUCCUCCGCUUUUUCAUGCAGACAUUCAAACAACUGCCUCCCUUCCUCCUGGCACCCCUCCUGGCACCCCCAUCCCAUCGCCAGCAGCCUCCAAACCAGUUUCCCUCCUGUCCUCAUCUCAGCCACCCAUGACUCACACACACAUCUGUCUCCCCUGGCCCACUUUUCACCUGGUCCUCAUAAUCUAUGCAUAAACAUUAACGUACCACAGGUCAAUCUGCAUACUGAUUACUUCUGCUCUGGUCAAAUUCUUGCUUUCAGGAUCAGGAGGCUUUCUCCCCACACCAAACUGGGCCUGAGGAAAUAGUGUCUUGUCUUCCUGUCACCCCUCCCGUAGUUGCAUGUCUAAUGAGACAAGGGGUGUCUCAGGUGAAGCAGGACAGGGAGGAUGCCAGCACUUGGGUGGUAGAGGUUUGAGGAGUGCCUGUUGGGGGAUGUGUUGGGGAAGGAGGACUUUUCACAUAUGGCUCAUUGUGUCGGGAUGAUUUCGUUGUUAAAUAAGCACCUACAGGAUGAUUUCACAUUCCAUACUUCUAAGUUUUUAUAAUUUAAAUUCUUUCCGCCAGGCUGGGUUUUUUUUUUUUUUCCAAACUUUAAAUCUGUGGCUAGAAUUGGUUUGAUUUACCUAAUCCUGCCCCUGAGAUUUAGCCCCAUCCCUGAGAGCCCCCUCAGAGCCACCCACAGCCAGGACACCUCUGCUGGCCUCCCCUUCCCCAGCCUUCCAACUUGUGGCAGGCCCCCGGCUCUGGCCUCCCCCUAUAUGGGAAUGAGCCAGCUGCACCGCUGCUGACAGUGGCUGGGAUAAUCCUCCCUGAGCUGUUCCAAGGAUUAGUCCUGCUGCCCUGUGCCCAGCUCCCACACAACGGGGUUUCGGGGCUGUGGACCCUGUGCCAGGAAAGGAAGGGCGCAGCUCCUGCAAUGCGGAGCAGCCAGGGCAGUGGGCACCAGGCUUUAGCCUCCCUUUCUCACCCUACAGAGGGCAGGCCCUUCAGCUCCAUUCUCCUCCAAGGCUGCAGAGGGGGCAGGAAUUGGGGGUGACAGGAGAGCUGUAAGGUCUCCAGUGGGUCAUUCUGGGCCCAGAGAUGGGUGCUGAAGCUCCCACGCCUGCCUGUGAAAAUGGAGUCCUCUCUCACCUGGGAGAGCCAGGUGCUGCCCCGAGAAGGAUGCAUUUAUGGCUUCAUGAAGUCUUUCCUGACCCCCGAUGCUGCUGACUAUAGGUAAGUCUGAGCAAAUCUGGGGGAGCCUCAUCUUGGCAUGAGAAAGAGAUGGCUUCUUCUAAGCCCACUGGCCGUGAUCCCAGGAUUAUAACACAUUCUGGCUCAAGUCCAGACUAUUUGUAGAACACAGGAGAUCCUCCAUGAGAGGUAGUAUAAUAUAGAGGAUAUGUGUGCUUACUAAGAGGCUGCCUGUCUGACCUUGGACAAGUUCUUUUUAUUUAUUUAUUUAUUUUUUAUAGAGACAAAGUCUCACUAUGUUGCUCAGGCUGGUCUUGAACUCCUGGCCUCAAGCGAUCCUCCCACCUUAGCCUCCCAAAGAGUUGGGAUUAUAGACAUGAGCCACUGCACCUGGCCGACCUUGGGCAAGUUCUUAAACCCUUCAAAGCCUCAUUUUUCUCCAAUCAUAAAAGGGAAAGAUGGUAAUAUUUUCCCCUCCAAAUUCUUGUAAGUAUUAAACAUUGUAUAUGUAUUUUGAACACGAUUAAGCUCUAAACACUUGUUAGGAAGCAGGAGUAGCAUUUGAAACAAACAGCUCUUUUCCCACAGGUCGGAUGCCCUCACAGAAUUGAGAUUAUGUACGUAAAACACCAGGUGCCUAACCCGGCACAGAGCAGGAGGGCUAAGCGUGACAUCCAGCACGUGGUCAGUGGAAUCCAGUAUUCCUACCCACCUCUCUAGUCUCCCCUCCACCCCUCUCCCUUUCAGAGGCACCAAGCUGCUUGUGGUCUUGUCUAUUCCCACUCCCUGCCUGACUGAACAUUUUCUCCACCUCCUGAUCAUCAGCAGCAGAAACUGGCUGCUCUUCCUCCUGGGUAGACAGCCAGACUGUAUUUCCCAGCUGCCCCUGCAGUGAGAUGUGGCCAUCGGAGCCAGCAUUGGCCAAUGGACUCUGCAUGGGAGUGACGCAUGCUGCCUCCAGGCUUGUCCCUAAAACCUCCCACGUGUCCUCCGCCUGCUCUUCCCACUUCCAAGGAGCACGGCAAUUGUGGAAGACCCAGAUUAGUGAUGGCAGAACCAUAGAUGGGAGGAACCUGGGUCCCUGACUUAAAGUAUCAUGGAUUUGGAUGUUCCCUUAGUGAGAAAUAAACUUCCAUUGUGUUUAAGCCUUUAUUUGUUUAUAGUUGGUUACAGCAACUGCCUUCUUUUAAUUAAAACACUCCUGCUGCUUCAUGUUGCUGGAAUGCUUGUAACCCUGCCCUGCUUCACCAGGGUAACUCCUACUUGGCCUUUAAGUUUAUCUCUGCUGUCACACCGUCCAGAAAGCCUUCUCCCAGCACCACAACCCCUCCACCAAGGGUUAGGUGUCUCCAGCAGAUGCUGCACAGCUGGCUGCCCUUUGCCCACCCUCCCCUUCUUUCUCAUAGAAUCCUAGGACUCCUAUGUAUCUAGAAGGAGUUGUGUGGUCCAGUGCUGGCCAAGAAGAUGUGAGAGCAAGUCGCUGGGUGG
This 4088-nucleotide long non-coding RNA is filed under the name Homo sapiens (human). Its description in RNAcentral is "HSALNT0038173". The record is from RNAcentral. Lineage: Eukaryota; Metazoa; Chordata; Mammalia; Primates; Hominidae.